CCUUUUGUAGAAUGAACCGGCGAGUUACGAUUUGAUGCAAGGUUAAGCAGUAAAUGUGGAGCCGUAGCGAAAGCGAGUCUGAAUAGGGCGUUUAGUAUUUGGUCGUAGACCCGAAACCAGGUGAUCUACCCUUGGUCAGGUUGAAGUUCAGGUAACACUGAAUGGAGGACCGAACCGACUUACGUUGAAAAGUGAGCGGAUGAACUGAGGGUAGCGGAGAAAUUCCAAUCGAACCUGGAGAUAGCUGGUUCUCUCCGAAAUAGCUUUAGGGCUAGCCUCAAGUGAUGAUUAUUGGAGGUAGAGCACUGUUUGGACGAGGGGCCCCUCUCGGGUUACCGAAUUCAGACAAACUCCGAAUGCCAAUUAAUUUAACUUGGGAGUCAGAACAUGGGUGAUAAGGUCCGUGUUCGAAAGGGAAACAGCCCAGACCACCAGCUAAGGUCCCAAAAUAUAUGUUAAGUGGAAAAGGAUGUGGCGUUGCCCAGACAACUAGGAUGUUGGCUUAGAAGCAGCCAUCAUUUAAAGAGUGCGUAAUAGCUCACUAGUCGAGUGACACUGCGCCGAAAAUGUACCGGGGCUAAACAUAUUACCGAAGCUGUGGAUUGUCCUUUGGACAAUGGUAGGAGAGCGUUCUAAGGGCGUUGAAGCAUGAUCGUAAGGACAUGUGGAGCGCUUAGAAGUGAGAAUGCCGGUGUGAGUAGCGAAAGACGGGUGAGAAUCCCGUCCACCGAUUGACUAAGGUUUCCAGAGGAAGGCUCGUCCGCUCUGGGUUAGUCGGGUCCUAAGCUGAGGCCGACAGGCGUAGGCGAUGGAUAACAGGUUGAUAUUCCUGUACCACCUAUAAUCGUUUUAAUCGA
This 857-nucleotide ribosomal RNA is filed under the name Staphylococcus aureus. RNAcentral describes it as "partial 23S ribosomal RNA". It matches the Rfam family "Bacterial large subunit ribosomal RNA", at positions 604 to 1464 of the family's 2925-position model. The record is from RNAcentral. Lineage: Bacteria; Bacillati; Bacillota; Bacilli; Caryophanales; Staphylococcaceae.